RNAcentral lists this microRNA precursor (98 nucleotides) under Aedes aegypti (yellow fever mosquito). RNAcentral describes it as "partial AAEL017914-RA". The stretch from base 14 to 90 matches the Rfam family "mir-1 microRNA precursor family". From Rfam's summary of the family: This family represents the microRNA (miRNA) mir-1 family. miRNAs are transcribed as ~70nt precursors (modelled here) and subsequently processed by the Dicer enzyme to give a ~22nt product. Lineage: Eukaryota; Metazoa; Arthropoda; Insecta; Diptera; Culicidae. The record is from RNAcentral.
AAACAAAUCGCUAUCGAAAGUUCCAUGCUUCCUUGCAUUCAAUAGUGAUUCUGAAAGCAUAUGGAAUGUAAAGAAGUAUGGAGCGCUCGGGCAAACUC